Molecule: unclassified non-coding RNA, 230 nt
Filed under: plant metagenome
Description: partial contains small subunit ribosomal RNA and internal transcribed spacer 1
Rfam family: Eukaryotic small subunit ribosomal RNA (bases 1-46)
Source: RNAcentral
AAGUCGUAACAAGGUUUCCGUAGGUGAACCUGCGGAAGGAUCAUUACUGAGAUAGGGUCCUUCGGGCCCGACCUCCAACCCUUUGUCUACCUUACCACUGUUGCCUCGGCGGGUCGCCGGCGCCCUUACGGGCGUCGCCGUCGGCCUUCGCGCUCUCGAGUGCCCGCCAGUAGGCCUCUUAAAACCCUUUAUAAACUAGUAAUCUGAAGAGUAUAUUUAAUACUUAAAAC